Molecule: non-coding RNA, 446 nt
Organism: Micropterus dolomieu (smallmouth bass)
Lineage: Eukaryota; Metazoa; Chordata; Actinopteri; Centrarchiformes; Centrarchidae
Source: the annotation of a RefSeq genome assembly
GUGAGGAGCUGCAGCAGGGGAAGGCCACGCUCAUGUGCCUGGCCAACAAGGGCUUCCCCUCAGACUGGAGUCUGGCCUGGAAGGUGGACGGCAGCAGCAGCAGCAGCAGCUGGGAGGAGAGCAGGAGCCCCGGGGUGCUGGAGAAGGACGGCCGCUACAGCUGGAGCAGCACCCUGAGGCUCCCUGCAGACCAGUGGAGGAAGGUGGGCUCUGUGACCUGUGAGGCCACCCAGGGCUCCCAGGCUCUGGUCUCAGAGACACUGAGGAGAGACCAGUGUUCCCAGUCCUGACCUGACUCACUGGGACUCUGCUACUGGUUUUAAUCUGCUUUCUGUAACUCUGUCUCUCUCAGACAAAAGUUUUAAAUAAUGCUAUUUUCUUAUUCAUAGUCACGCGGACUCUGUUAUCUUUUUCAGAUAAUAAAGAUGGUUUUGUUCAAAUCAAAA